Mangifera indica (mango) is the source of this 995-nucleotide long non-coding RNA. RefSeq lists it as uncharacterized. The record is from RefSeq and is a predicted model, not a curated record. Lineage: Eukaryota; Viridiplantae; Streptophyta; Magnoliopsida; Sapindales; Anacardiaceae. The transcript has 6 exons.
AGUCAAACAAAAAACUGCUGUGUUUUUAAUUAUCCCAAAGGGGUUUUCUUUUUUCUUUUUUUUUUAAUUUCAUAUUUUGUUCAUCUAGUGGCAUGCAAUGGCAAGGCCAGGCAACAAGAUUACACAAGCCAAGCUGAUGGGUACUUCUGGGGGACAUGGGAACUGAGAAAACAAGUUUGGUAUUAAGAUUUAUCAAAGAGUUGACGACUUUCAUUAUGAAAAUAUGCAGGAACCAAAAAUAGGGGCAGCAUUUUUCUCUCAGAUAUUAUCCUUGACUGAAGCCACUGUAAAAUUUGAUAUAUGGGACACGGCCGGCCAGGAGAGAUACCAUGGAUUGGCUCCGCUGUACUAUAUUGGCGCCGCCGCUGUAGUUGUGUAUGACAUCUCAAGCAUGAAAUGGCUGCUGUAAUGUUGCUUGGCUCCAUGAUACAUGCAAUAGAGCGAAGAAAUGGGCUCAGGAAUUGCAAAGGCAAGGAAAUCAAACUUUGGUGAUAGCAUUGGUGGGAACUAAGUCUGACUUGAGUUCACAUGGGGAGGUAGAAGCCGAGGUACUUGAACAAAAUUUUCCAGUCAUUUCCCUUUCAUUACUGGUUUAAAUCUCUCUUUUUGUUUCUCUGUUCUUCCAUUGCUGGAAGCUGAGCAAUUCGCUCAAGUGGGCGGAAUAUUUUACAUGGAAACUUCAGCAAAAACUGCACAGAAUAUCAAUGAGCUUUUCUGUGAAAUAGCAAAAAGACUAGCAAGAAUCAGUCCUUCACGGUCUUCAGGGAUAACUCUAAAACAUGAGACUCCAGAUAGAAGAAAAUGGUUUUGUUGCAUAGGAUGAGACAUGGUUACUCUCAAGAUUCCUGGAAAUGACUUUUCUCACAGCCCCCAUUUAAAAAAUGUGCCUGCUUACAAAAACUGGGGAUUGUGUACGAGUUGCAAAUUAAUUGUAAAUAAGACUUCUUUCAUUGAAACCCACAUCAAUUUAAUGAUAAUAUAUGUAUAGUUUCCGG